This 27-nucleotide non-coding RNA is filed under the name Homo sapiens (human). The record is from RNAcentral. Lineage: Eukaryota; Metazoa; Chordata; Mammalia; Primates; Hominidae.
UACAUUGCCUAAAUCAUAACUUGAUGA